UGAGGCGCUGUCGUUCAGGCAGUUAGCUCAGUUGGUGGUCCAUCACCCUUGCUGAGAGAGCUCCGGUAUGGUGUCCACUUGGAGGGGAGCCAAAUCAUCUACACUUGCCAAAAAGGAUGCACCGAUCCAGAAAUCAGUGACGCAAAACGUCAUUUUGAGAACUUGUCGAUUAUUUGCUGGAAAAGGUAUGUUUUGUGGUGGGAGACAAGUAACUUUGAGUAGCUUCUGGUAAGUUUGUGACAUAGCUGUUGAAACAUUAAAAGUGAAUGGGAGUAAUGCAUCUUUCACAGAAGCCCAGUAGUUCUAGUCUAUGUGACAUCCUCGGAAGAAUGCAGGAAAUAGACCGAUGUUGUUAUUCAAUAGUAAAAAAACAAUUAACUGGUUGGGGGAUGGGGGCAGGUGGGGGGGAAGUGCUCAUUGCUGUCAUUUAGCAAUUUAUCCUAGAAAGGACUGUUCACGGCUCACAACUUACGUGACCACAGUAUAAAUGGAUGCGGAAAAGUUAGGUAUGACAACUUUCCACAAAACCCCUUAAAAGCCAAGGUAUCACAAGUAAUCCUUAAUACUUUGAGCAGUUUUGACAGGAAGCAGACACUUAAAUACAGCUGUGUCUCCAGACUAGUGAUCACAAUAGGCAUUUUCUUGGAUAGAGGGUAGAAACUUCAUAUUAAUAGAGAACUUAAGAUAACAGUUACUUCUCUGUUGAAGGAGAAGGGAUUUCCCUCCAUAACUCCAUCAUUUGUCUGCCUGGUUUCCAGCUCAAUUGCUCUGCCUCAGUCUGGAACAAAAGAUUUGCUUGCAAGUGCACAUUAUUAGGCUAGUUCAUGUUAAUUCAAAUUGGUAUGUAAAAUUGUAUCCAGAUUUAUCACAAUGUUAAUAAUUUUAGAAGAAAAAUAUGAUAAUGCAUGUCAUAUUUAUAUUAAUAUGUAGUUAGAUAUUUAAAAUUGCUGACAGUUGCAUCAAACUGCAAUCAAAUACCAAAUAAAACUCAUUCAACACCACACAGUAUUAGGGAUGUUUAGCAUUUUAAAGACAUGUAGGAUAGAAUAAUUCUAACAUUUUAAAAGAAGUCUUUGAUAAUAAUUGGCAAAGUGCAUAAAAAUAUUAACAAAGCAAUAACUAUAAGAUCAGAAGACUUAUUCGUGUUGGUCAUCUAUUCUGAAGUGUUUCAUUUCAGUGUUGUUUUCUAUUUUUUUUUUUUUUUUUCAAUUCAAAAGCCUGUUUUAUUUCCUGGUCACAUUUUCAGAAUUUUAACAUCACAUUUUAAUAUCACUUGUGAAAUAAAUCUUCUUUCACAAAUGUGGUAAAUCAUACUAUUAAAACCCAUGGAACAUAUGCUUCUAUUGCAUUGUACAAGAGAAAACAAAGUUCCAAGGCUACACCCCUUAUAGAGCAACAGGUAACUGAGAGAUCAUUUCUUACAGGGCACAGUGUGAAGUAAUUGGCUUUUGUGAUCUCUGGGAACUUCCCAACCAUCUUCAAGUACUAUUGCUUGCACAUUCACACUAAAUUUGACAGUGUACAUUAAAUGAAUGUUUUGACAUGCUCCAUGAAAAGUUCCCAAGGAUGUCUAUAAUCUGUGAAGUGAUGAGUGGACUUCCCUCACACCUGGCCAUGAUUCAUACACUUUACCAUACUCAGGUGAAACAGAAAAAAGUCUAGACAUCAGGAACAGUCAGAGGAUCUCAAAUGGACUGAAACAAUAAAUACAUGUAUUUCCAUUUGCGUGAGAUAAUAUUAUUAAAAACAGUCUACUUA
Pseudopipra pipra is the source of this 1758-nucleotide long non-coding RNA. RefSeq lists it as uncharacterized. The transcript has 2 exons. The record is from RefSeq and is a predicted model, not a curated record. Lineage: Eukaryota; Metazoa; Chordata; Aves; Passeriformes; Pipridae.